Pelobates cultripes (western spadefoot toad) is the source of this 296-nucleotide non-coding RNA. NCBI's taxonomy places the organism in Eukaryota, Metazoa, Chordata, Amphibia, Anura, Pelobatidae. The record is from the annotation of a GenBank genome assembly.
GUUUUGGUGUAUGGAAUAUUCACGUAGUCAAAACCUUUCGUUAAAAAAGCUCUGAACUUUUCCUCUAUAGUAAUACUAGGGUUAGUCGUUAAUUUUUUAUAUGUAGUAACAUCCAUUAAAAUACGUGAAGCUUCUUUAUUAUAAAAUUCUUUAGACAUAACAACUAUUCCUCCCCCUUUAUCAGCUGGUUUUAUCACCAAAUUUUUAUUCUUUUUCAAUUCCCUUAACACUUUCCUUUCCUUUAUUGAUACAUUAUCGUUAAAUUUAUCCUUUACUUUUAUCUUUCUAUACUCAUU